RNAcentral lists this ribosomal RNA (254 nucleotides) under uncultured bacterium. RNAcentral's name for it is "partial 16S ribosomal RNA". It matches the Rfam family "Bacterial small subunit ribosomal RNA", at positions 79 to 334 of the family's 1533-position model. The record is from RNAcentral.
CAAUACCCGCCGGCGACCGGCGCACGGGUGAGUAACACGUAUCCAACCUGCCGAUAACUCGGGGAUAGCCUUUCGAAAGAAAGAUUAAUACCCGAUGGUAUAAUCAGACCGCAUGGUCUUGUUAUUAAAGAAUUUCGGUUAUCGAUGGGGAUGCGUUCCAUUAGGCAGUUGGUGAGGUAACGGCUCACCAAACCUUCGAUGGAUAGGGGUUCUGAGAGGAAGGUCCCCCACAUUGGAACUGAGACACGGUCCAA